GAGUUUGAUCCUGGCUCAGGAUGAACGCUGGCGGCGUGCCUAAUACAUGCAAGUCGAGCGGAAACACUUCGGGUGUCGAGCGGCGGACGGCUGAGUAACACGUAGGAACGUACCCAAACUGAGGGAUAAGCAUCGGAAACGGUGUCUAAUACCGCAUGUGCUCUAAGGAGUAAAGCUUCGGCGGUUUGGGAACGGCCUGCGCAUGAUUAGCUUGUUGGUGAGGUAAUGGCUCACCAAGGCUUCGAUCAUUAGCUGGUCUGAGAGGAUGACCAGCCAGACUGGGACUGAGAACGGCCCAGACUCCUACGGGAGGCAGCAGUAGGGAAUUUUCCACAAUGGGCGAAAGCCUGAUGGAGCAACGCCGCGUGCAGGAUGAAUGCCUUCGGGUUGUAAACUGCUUUUAUAUGUGAAGAUUUUGACGGUAACAUAUGAAUAAGGAUCGGCUAACUCCGUGACAGCCGCCGCGGUAAC
Molecule: ribosomal RNA, 471 nt
Filed under: uncultured microorganism
Description: bacterial SSU rRNA
Rfam family: Bacterial small subunit ribosomal RNA
Source: RNAcentral